This 446-nucleotide ribosomal RNA is filed under the name uncultured bacterium. Its description in RNAcentral is "bacterial SSU rRNA". It matches the Rfam family "Bacterial small subunit ribosomal RNA", at positions 330 to 792 of the family's 1533-position model. The record is from RNAcentral.
GCCAGACUCCUACGGGAGGCAGCAGUGGGGGAUAUUGCACAAUGGGGGGAACCCUGAUGCAGCGACGCCGCGUGGGUGAAGAAGUAUUUCGGUAUGUAAAGCCCUAUCGGCAGGGAAGAAAUUGGACGGUACCUGACUAAGAAGCCCCGGCUAACUACGUGCCAGCAGCCGCGGUAAUACGUAGGGGGCAAGCGUUAUCCGGAUUCACUGGGUGUAAAGGGAGCGUAGACGGCCAUGCAAGCCUGGAGUGAAAGCCCGGGGCCCAACCCCGGGACUGCUCUGGGAACUGUGCGGCUGGAGUGCGGGAGGGGCAGGCGGAAUUCCUGGUGUAGCGGUGAAAUGCGUAGAUAUCAGGAGGAACACCGGCGGCGAAGGCGGCCUGCUGGACCGCGACUGACGUUGAGGCCCGAAAGCGUGGGGAGCAAACAGGAUUAGAUACCCUGGUA